AACGAACGCUGGCGGCAUGCCUAACACAUGCAAGUCGAACGAGACCUUCGGGUCUAGUGGCGCACGGGUGCGUAACGCGUGGGAACCUGCCCUUAGGUUCGGAAUAACUCCCCGAAAGGGGUGCUAAUACCGGAUAAUGUCUUCGGACCAAAGAUUUAUCGCCUUUGGAUGGGCCCGCGUUGGAUUAGCUAGUUGGUAGGGUAAAAGCCUGCCAAGGCGACGAUCCAUAGCUGGUCUGAGAGGAUGAUCAGCCACACUGGGACUGAGACACGGCCCAGACUCCUACGGGAGGCAGCAGUGGGGAAUAUUGGACAAUGGGCGAAAGCCUGAUCCAGCAAUGCCGCGUGAGUGGUGAAGGCCUUAGGGUUGUAAAGCUCUUUUACCCGGGAUGAUAAUGACAGUACCGGGAGAAUAAGCUCCGGCUAACUCCGUG
Molecule: ribosomal RNA, 433 nt
Filed under: uncultured bacterium
Lineage: Bacteria
Description: partial 16S ribosomal RNA
Rfam family: Bacterial small subunit ribosomal RNA
Source: RNAcentral